RNAcentral lists this ribosomal RNA (581 nucleotides) under uncultured bacterium. RNAcentral's name for it is "bacterial SSU rRNA". It matches the Rfam family "Bacterial small subunit ribosomal RNA", at positions 764 to 1345 of the family's 1533-position model. The record is from RNAcentral.
GGGAUCGAACAGGAUUAGAUACCCUGGUAGUCCACGCAGUAAACGAUGAGCGCUAACUGUCCGGAGCGAGCGAGCUCUGGGUGGUACAGUGAAAACGUUAAGCGCUCCACCUGGGGAGUACGCCGGCAACGGUGAAACUCAAAGGAAUUGACGGGGGCCCGCACAAGCGGAGGAACAUGUGGUUUAAUUCGAUGAUACGCGAGGAACCUUACCCGGGCUCAAACGUAAGCGGAAUAACGGUGAAAGCCGUUAGCUAUUUAUAGCCGCUUACGAGGUGCUGCAUGGUUGUCGUCAGCUCGUGCCGUGAGGUGUCGGCUUAAGUGCCAUAACGAGCGCAACCCCCAUCGCCAGUUGCUAACAGGUAAUGCUGAGGACUCUGGCGAGACUGCCGGCGCAAGCUGCGAGGAAGGCGGGGAUGACGUCAAAUCAGCACGGCCCUUACGUCCGGGGCGACACACGUGUUACAAUGGCAGGUACAGAGAGAAGCCAUCCCGCGAGGGAGAGCGGAACUUGAAAGCCUGUCUCAGUUCGGAUUGGAGUCUGCAACCCGACUCCAUGAAGCUGGAUUCGCUAGUAAUCGC